CUUCGUGCUCCGGGGUCGGUGAAAGUCCGAACCGGCGGUGAAAGUCCGCGACCCGAGCCGCCUCGGCGGCCUCGGUUGAACCGGUGGAACUCCGGUACCGACAGUCACAGUCUGGAUGGGAGAAGCACGAAG
This 132-nucleotide non-coding RNA is filed under the name Nesterenkonia sp. RNAcentral describes it as "FMN sequence". It matches the Rfam family "FMN riboswitch aptamer (RFN element)". Rfam says of the family: The RFN element is a highly conserved domain that is found frequently in the 5'-untranslated regions of prokaryotic mRNAs that encode for flavin mononucleotide (FMN) biosynthesis and transport proteins. The record is from RNAcentral. Lineage: Bacteria; Bacillati; Actinomycetota; Actinomycetes; Micrococcales; Micrococcaceae.